This 123-nucleotide transfer RNA is filed under the name Candidatus Aenigmatarchaeota archaeon. Its description in RNAcentral is "tRNA-Gly". The record is from RNAcentral. Lineage: Archaea; Nanobdellati; Candidatus Aenigmatarchaeota.
GCGCCGAUAGUCCAGUGGUAAGACACGAACUUUAUGGUGGAAGCUUCCCAAGCUUGUGACCCGGGUUCGAUUGCGCUGCUGAAGCAGGCAAAUUCAGUAGUGCUGAACAUCCCGGUCGGCGCA